This 107-nucleotide small nuclear RNA is filed under the name Microcebus murinus (gray mouse lemur). Lineage: Eukaryota; Metazoa; Chordata; Mammalia; Primates; Cheirogaleidae. The record is from RNAcentral.
GUGCUCACUUCGGCAGCACAUAUGCUAAAAUCAAAAUCAUACAGAGAAGAUUAGCAUGUACCCUGCACAAGGAUGGCACACAAGUUCAUGAAGCAUUUCAUAUUUUU